GCCUGUUUAACAAAAACAUGGCUUUAUGUAUUUAUAUAAAGUCUAACCUGCCCACUGAAAAUUUUUAAAGGGCCGCAGUAUCUUAACUGUGCAAAGGUAGCAUAAUCACUUGUCUUUUAAUUGAAGGCUUGAAUGAACGGUAGAACGAGAAAUAAUCUGUCUCUUUUAAAAAAAUUGAAUUUUACUUUUAAAUGAAAAGGUUUAAAUAAAUUAAAAAGACGAUAAGACCCUAUAAAUCUUUAUAUUAAUAAUUAUUUUUUUUAAUUAUAAAUAAAUAAAAAAUAAUAAUUAUAAUAUUUUAUUGGGGAGAUAUAAAUAUAAUUUUUAACUAUUUUAUUUUUAUAACAAUAAUAUUUGAUUUAUUAUAAUGAUCCUUUUUAAAGAUUACAAAAUCAAGUUACUUUAGGGAUAACAGCGUUAUCUUUUUUAAGAGUCCAUAUCGAAAAAAAAGUUUGCGACCUCGAUGUUGAAUUAAAAGAAUCCACAUAAACGCAAAAGUUAUAAAGGAAAGUCUGUUCGACUUUUAAAAUUUUACAUGAUUUGAG
RNAcentral lists this ribosomal RNA (545 nucleotides) under Kiwa sp. n. Southwest Indian Ridge. Its description in RNAcentral is "partial 16S ribosomal RNA". It matches the Rfam family "Bacterial large subunit ribosomal RNA", at positions 1798 to 2609 of the family's 2925-position model. Lineage: Eukaryota; Metazoa; Arthropoda; Malacostraca; Decapoda; Kiwaidae. The record is from RNAcentral.